This 772-nucleotide ribosomal RNA is filed under the name uncultured bacterium. RNAcentral describes it as "bacterial SSU rRNA". It matches the Rfam family "Bacterial small subunit ribosomal RNA", at positions 8 to 796 of the family's 1533-position model. The record is from RNAcentral.
AGAGUUUGAUCAUGGCUCAGGACGAACGCUGGCGGCGUGCCUAAUGCAUGCAAGUCGAACGCACUCGACCUUCGGGUCAUAUGGGUGAGUGGCGAACGGGUGAGUAACACGUGAGAAACCCACCCCGAAGUCUGGAAUAACUCAGGGAAACUUGAGCUAAUACCAGAUGCCCUCUGCACAUCGAAUGGUGAGCAGAGGAAAGAUUUAUCGCUUCGGGACGGUCUCGCGGCCUAUCAGCUAGUUGGUGAGGUAACGGCUCACCAAGGCAUUGACGGGUAGCUAGUCUGAGAGGACGAAUAGCCACACUGGGACUGAGACACGGCCCAGACUCCUACGGGAGGCAGCAGCAGGGAAUCUUGCACAAUGGGCGAAAGCCUGAUGCAGCGACGCCGCGUGGGGGAUGAAGGCCUUAGGGUCGUAAACCCCUUUCAGCAGGGACGAAAAUGACGGUACCUGCAGAAGAAGCCCCGGCCAACUACGUGCCAGCAGCCGCGGUAAGACGUAGGGGGCGAGCGUUGUCCGGAUUUAUUGGGCGUAAAGAGCUCGUAGGCGGUUGCGUAAGUCGGAUGUGAAAACUCAGGGCUCAACCCUGAGACGCCAUCCGAUACUGCGCUGACUUGAAUCCAGUAGGGGAGUGUGGAAUUCCUGGUGUAGCGGUGAAAUGCGCAGAUAUCAGGAGGAACACCCAUGGCGAAGGCAGCACUCUGGGCUGGUAUUGACGCUGAGGAGCGAAAGCAUGGGUAGCGAACAGGAUUAGAUACCCUAGUAGUCC